RNAcentral lists this ribosomal RNA (468 nucleotides) under uncultured bacterium. RNAcentral's name for it is "partial 16S ribosomal RNA". It matches the Rfam family "Bacterial small subunit ribosomal RNA", at positions 28 to 507 of the family's 1533-position model. The record is from RNAcentral.
GACGAACGCUGGCGGCGUGCUUAACACAUGCAGGUCGAACGGAAAGGCCCUGCUUUUGUGGGGUGCUCGAGUGGCGAACGGGUGAGUAACACGUGAGUAACCUGCCCUUGACUUUGGGAUAACUUCAGGAAACUGGGGCUAAUACCGGAUAGGAGCUCCUGCUGCAUGGUGGGGGUUGGAAAGUUUCGGCGGUUGGGGAUGGACUCGCGGCUUAUCAGCUUGUUGGUGGGGUAGUGGCUUACCAAGGCUUUGACGGGUAGCCGGCCUGAGAGGGUGACCGGCCACAUUGGGCCUGAGAUACGGCCCAGACUCCUACGGGAGGCAGCAGUGGGGAAUAUUGCACAAUGGGCGGAAGCCUGAUGCAGCAACGCCGCGUGCGGGAUGACGGCCUUCGGGUUGUAAACCGCUUUCGCCUGUGACGAAGCGUGAGUGACGGUAAUGGGUAAAGAAGCACCGGCUAACUACGUG